UAUUUUAGUGCUAAUUUCACUUGGUGGAUCAUGGAAUGAUGGAACUUAGUAUAGUUCCAUGGGUGGAUCUCAUUCAUUAGAUACAUAAGUCAUUAAUAACGGCAAGGCUAAUGGCAAAAAAGCAUGCAUGGACAGUGAUUGUAUUUCAGCCGUUUCCAGAGAUUCACUGGUGAUGGCCAGAGACUGUAGAUGUAUACGACGUAACCACUGCCUGCUACACAAGUAAAUAUCACACCAGUAUUGUGAGGACUAUAGGACGUAACCACUGCCUGCUACACAAGUAAAUAUCACACCAGUACUGCGAGGACUAUAGGACGUAACCACUGCCUGCUACACAAGUAAAUAUCACACCAGUACUGCAAGGAAUAUAGGACGUAACCACUACCUGCUACACAAGUAAAUAUUACACUAGUACUGUGGGUUCAAGAACACCUUGGAGCCCCCCCCCCUCCAGCAAAUAAGACAAAUUUAGUGUGUGACAAAAAUGAGUAACCUAAAUGCAAAGACAUUCCAAUGUAAAGAUCGUACCUUUUUAAAAAUAAUAAGUUAUUCGAAUGGAUAGUUUUAAGGUCAUUGAUGUGAAUGAGUGGGCAUUGCAUCGUAUUGGUUUCAAAAUCAACCGCCGCUAGAAAAGAAAAAACAAACAAACAAACAAACUUUGAAUGGAUGAUUUUGAGGUCAUACAAUGGGAAUGUAUGGGCAUUGGCAGCGUAUUGGUUUCAAAAUCAACCACCGCUGGAAUCCGCUAUCGGAAUAAUUUAAAUAGGCACUCGCUGAACCUCCAAGAAAACAUUUAACAUCUAUAUUUCAUUUAGUAUGAGGAUCCAACUUAGGACUUGUGUGACAGGCUCGAGCUAAAUGGGA
This is a long non-coding RNA of Biomphalaria glabrata, 864 nucleotides long. RefSeq lists it as uncharacterized. The record is from RefSeq and is a predicted model, not a curated record. The transcript has 3 exons. NCBI's taxonomy places the organism in Eukaryota, Metazoa, Mollusca, Gastropoda, Planorbidae.